Molecule: non-coding RNA, 203 nt
Organism: Oryza glumipatula
Lineage: Eukaryota; Viridiplantae; Streptophyta; Magnoliopsida; Poales; Poaceae
Source: Rfam
AAAAAAUAAAACCUGGAUUCCGUAUCUAACGUUUCACCGUUCGUCUUAUUUGUAAUAUUAUGAAAAAAAUUAAAAAGACAAGUCACGCAUAAAAUAUUAAUCAUAUUUUAUCAUCUAACAACAAUGAAAAUACGAAUUAUAAAAAAAUUUCAUAUAAGACGGACAGUCAAAGUUGGACACGGAAACUCAGGGUUUGCCUUUUU